RNAcentral lists this unclassified non-coding RNA (215 nucleotides) under Hevea brasiliensis (rubber tree). Lineage: Eukaryota; Viridiplantae; Streptophyta; Magnoliopsida; Malpighiales; Euphorbiaceae. The record is from RNAcentral.
GGGCAUGUGUAUUGUAAGCGUUGCUCCAUCUCCUUCACACAUUCUAAAUGAAUAGUGUGUCCACAUGGCAAAACGGAAAUGUCGCUCAUUGUAUCGAAAAGAAACUCAAAGCAAACAGGACAAUUGUGGUGCAUUGCCUUUUCCACACAAUUGUGGGAGUUCUUCAUCAGUUUUGAAUAGCAACAACCACACUUUUUGCAGUGGAAGAAGUUAUC